GGCAGUUUGACAGAGGGCUCCCCAUGCCCCACGGCAUGGCUGUUGCUGCCAAGUUGAAUUGGCGGCCUGUGUCUUCCACUGUUGUGCAGGCAAUAUGGAGAGCAAACACCACCAUUCAUAACUCCCAAUGAGAGGAUAAUUCAGAUACAGGGAACUGAGACACCAGGAUAAGAGCCACCAAGAUUUUUUUGAGAUUCCAGGAGCAGUGAGCAUUGCAGGUGGAUCACCUCAUUAUGGGACUGCCCCAGUGAGAGGGAGCAGUCACCCCAUGAAGGGACCUAAGGUGCCCCCCCAGCAGGCACAGUCACCCCAUGAUAACAGCUGAAUAGUCCCUUGAGCAGCUAUUUCCCCAGUGCCACUGGACCUUCAGGAACCAGAAAUGAGGCAAUGAUGGACCAGACCACCAUCCGAUCAAGACUGCCUGACGCUGCCAACUUCCUGCCUCUGCCCUAUUUAAACCUGAACUUCUAGGUCAGGGCCCCUGAAGACAGGGCUGAGGAUGCUUGGCCCCCUCUGUUUCUCCCCAGCAUAGCCAUGUUGAAUAAAUUCCUUCUGUGCUUCCCUG
Molecule: non-coding RNA, 565 nt
Organism: Ictidomys tridecemlineatus (thirteen-lined ground squirrel)
Lineage: Eukaryota; Metazoa; Chordata; Mammalia; Rodentia; Sciuridae
Source: RefSeq, a predicted model, not a curated record